GGACAACCUACCCUUCGGUCCGGCAUAAUCCUGGGAAACUGGGGAUAAUUCCGGAUAGGUCACAGAUGCUGGAAUGCUCUGUGGCUCAAAGCUCCGGCGCCGAAGGAUGGGUCUGCGGCCUAUCAGGGUUGUAGUGGGUGUAACGUACCUACUAGCCUACGACGGGUACGGGUUGUGAGAGCAAGAGCCCGGAGAUGGAUUCUGAGACACGAAUCCAGGCCCUACGGGGUGCAGCAGGCGCGAAAACUUUACAAUGCGGGAAACCGUGAUAAGGGAAUCUCGAGUGCCAGCAUAUAAUGUUGGCUGUCCAGAUGCCUAAAAAGCAUCUGUUAGCAAGGGCCGGGCAAGACCGGUGCCAGCCGCCGCGGUAACACCGGCGGCCCGAGUGGUAACCGUUUUUAUUGGGUCUAAAGGGUCUGUAGCCGGCCAGGUAAGUCCCUUGGGAAAUCUGGCAGCUCAACUGUCAGGCUGCUAGGGGAUACUGUUUGGCUUGGGACCGGGAGAGGUGAGAGGUACCUUGGGGGUAGGGGUGAAAUCUUGUGAUCCCCGGGGGACCACCAGUGGCGAAGGCGUCUCACCAGAACGGGUCCGACGGUAAGGGACGAAAGCUAGGGGCACGAACCGGAUUAGAUACCCGGGUAGUCCUAGCCGUAAACGAUGCUCGCUAGGUGUCAGUCACGGUGCGACCGUGAUUGGUGCCGUAGGGAAGCCGUGAAGCGAGCCACCUGGGAAGUAUGGCCGCAGGGCUGAAACUUAA
This 757-nucleotide ribosomal RNA is filed under the name uncultured Methanosaeta sp. RNAcentral's name for it is "bacterial SSU rRNA". It matches the Rfam family "Archaeal small subunit ribosomal RNA", at positions 102 to 859 of the family's 1478-position model. Lineage: Archaea; Methanobacteriati; Methanobacteriota; Methanomicrobia; Methanotrichales; Methanotrichaceae. The record is from RNAcentral.